This 468-nucleotide ribosomal RNA is filed under the name uncultured bacterium. RNAcentral's name for it is "partial 16S ribosomal RNA". It matches the Rfam family "Bacterial small subunit ribosomal RNA", at positions 28 to 507 of the family's 1533-position model. The record is from RNAcentral.
GACGAACGCUGGCGGCGUGCUUAACACAUGCAAGUCGAACGGCAAGGCCCGCUUUUUGUGGGGGGCGCGAGUGGCGAACGGGUGAGUAACACGUGAGUAACCUGCCCUUGACUUUGGGGUAACUUCAGGGAACUGGGGCUAAUACCGGCUAGGAGCUCCUGCUGCCUGGUGGGGGUUGGAAAGUUUCGGCGGUUGGGGAUGGACUGGCGGCUUAGCAGCUUGUUGGUGGGGUAGUGGCUUACCAGGGCAUUGACGGCUAGCCGGCCUGAGCGGGUAACCGGCCACAUUGGGACUGAGAUACGGCCCAGAGUCCUACGGGAGGCAGCGGUGGGGAAUAUUGCACAAUGGGCGGAAGCCUGAUGCAGCAACGUCGCGUGCGGGAUGACGGCCUUCGGGUUGUAAACCGCUUUCGCCUGUGACGAAGCGUGAGUGACGGUAAUGGGUAAAGAAGCACCGGCUAACUACGUG